This 402-nucleotide long non-coding RNA is filed under the name Homo sapiens (human). Its description in RNAcentral is "HSALNT0398465". The record is from RNAcentral. Lineage: Eukaryota; Metazoa; Chordata; Mammalia; Primates; Hominidae.
AGCCACCGCACCCGGCCCCUGAGGGAAUGCUUGAAAUUGCUUUCAUGUAAAAGCACCUACACCCAGGCCCCCCCCACCCACGAACAGCUUCGUGGACAGUUUACUCAGACUGAGUCGAAGAUGGAGAAACUGAGCCCGAGAGAGAGAAGAGGAGUCAGCUGAGCCUCCCCCAGAUAAGACAAUCGCCAAAUAUUCUGGGACCUUGCUGGGGGCAGACAGCCCUCCCUGCCCAGCAAUGGGCCUUUGGGAUGUGGCACAAGCUCCCGGGAAACCAGGAGUGACAAGGGCGCCUGUCCCUGAGGAGUGGAGAGCGCGGAGUUGGUGCUGAGUCAGCCCUGAUGUGGCAGAGGAGGAGCAGGCCCCCGCAGAACCAGGGAAACGUCAUCUCCACCGCUCAACCAG